CCUACGGGUGGCAGCAGUGAGGAAUAUUGGUCAAUGGGCGGAAGCCUGAACCAGCCAAGUAGCGUGCGGGAUGAAGGCCCUACGGGUCGUAAACCGCUUUUGCACGGGGAUAACACCCUCCACUUGUGGAGGUCUGCAGGUACCGUGCGAAUAAGGGCCGGCUAAUUCCGUGCCAGCAGCCGCGGUAAUACGGAAGGCCCGAGCGUUAUCCGGAUUCAUUGGGCUUAAAGGGAGCGUAGGCGGGCGUUCAAGUCAGCUGUAAAAUCGCGCGGCUCAACCGCGCCCCGCAGUUGAAACUGGACGCCUUGAGUUCACAACAGGCAGGCGGAAUUCGUGGUGUAGCGGUGAAAUGCUUAGAUAUGACGAAGAACCCCGAUUGCGAAGGCAGCUUGCUGCAGCGGAACUGACGCUGAUGCUCGAAAGCGCGGGUAUCGAACAGGAUUAGAUACCCGAGUAGUC
RNAcentral lists this ribosomal RNA (459 nucleotides) under uncultured bacterium. RNAcentral describes it as "partial 16S ribosomal RNA". It matches the Rfam family "Bacterial small subunit ribosomal RNA", at positions 338 to 795 of the family's 1533-position model. The record is from RNAcentral.